Molecule: long non-coding RNA, 383 nt
Filed under: Populus trichocarpa (black cottonwood)
Lineage: Eukaryota; Viridiplantae; Streptophyta; Magnoliopsida; Malpighiales; Salicaceae
Description: long non-coding RNA (PTRI_LNC000294)
Source: RNAcentral
UUUGAUCUGCAUUGUUAUUGGUGGUGUUAGUGGUCAAGCACCAGCAACAUCACCAACAGCAACACCAGCACCACCUACGGCAACAACACCAACAACGUCUCCUCCACCAGCAACCUCCACUCCUCCACCAGUGUCAGCCCCACCUCCAGUCACCCAAUCCCCACCUCCAGCUACACCUCCUCCGGUCUCAGCCCCACCACCAGCCUCCCCUCCUCCAGCCACACCACCCCCAGCAACACCUCCUCCCGCCACACCUCCACCAGCAACACCUCCUCCAGCCACACCGCCACCUGCUACUCCACCACCAGCAACCCCUCCUCCAGCUGUUCCUCCACCAGCUCCCUUGGCUUCUCCGCCAGCUCUUGUUCCAGCUCCAGCUCCAG